CUUCCGUCUUGUUCAUUCUAUUUUUUUUAAAAAUCAAAUUAAAUAAAUUUUCAUUAAUAUUUUGAGAUAUAUUUUCUGCUAUAUUAAUAUUAGAAGAAGCACAUCGUGCAGUAUUUUUAGUUUUUAAAUAUCUAAAUUAUACAUUUUAAAAUAUUGAAUUGACAUAAUCUCCGGAAGAAUUGACAUAGUCAAGUUGAUUACCUAAGGCAAGGAAAACUGGACAUAGGGAUUACAAGUCUUCUCUCUCUCAAAAAAACACACACACACACACACACUCUCUUUUCCCUGAUUUUAGCUUACUCUUUGCUGAUACAAUAGUGUGUUGAUUCUUCUUUUUUCGUGUUGGGUGUAGUCAUGGCAGCAGCAUCAGCUACCGAUAUCGACUUUGACCUCAGUAAGAGUAGCUUGGAUUCCUUUGGUAAAGAACUUCUAGAAGCACUUGAACCUUUUAUGAUUGGUUCUACUCAAUCAUCUAGUAUUUGGUUGCACCCAGAAGCCAUUUUCGAUGAUCCUUUAUGGUCAAUUCCUUCGACAACCCAGAAUAUGUUUCCAAGUUUUGAGCAUAUGGGUGCAGUGUUGAGUGUCCAAUCACUUGAGGAUGUAGGAGCGUCGACACCGAUUCAUUCGUUGUGUCAAAUGUCGAAUGAUGUCACCAGUGCUCAGGUUGAUUCUUCUCCUGCUAUAUAUUAUCUUGGACCAUUUAACUCGGAAGAGCUAGCACAACUUGAUGCUUCUUUUUCGCCAACCAACAGAGCAAGUGUUGGCCUUGAAAUUGAAAAGGACGACACAAAUGAAUUGGUGCAACUUAAUUCACAUUUUGAGCAACCGAAUGUGGAAACUGACCAAGUGGAGCAUAGCGAUUGCGAUGAGAUGUGGAAGACAAUUGUUUAUAGGUGAAACUACAAAUGGAGAAAGUAACCUCCUCUGUGGAGCAACGACGACUACCUUCAUCUUAUUGAUUCAAAGAAGAACAAGGCAAAAGAGAGGAUAGUAAAAGAUUAUGGGAUCACUCUUGAGAUUCUGGAGCAGCAUUUUGGCAUGACUCUUGAAGAUGCUGCUAAAUCUCUACAUGUUAGUCGAUCAACACUGAAACGGAUAUGUAAAGCAUAUGGUAUAUCUAGAUGGCCACAUCAUAAGACUAGAAAGGUUGAUCACCAUGUUAGCUAAGUCGAUCACUCAUGAAGGAUUUUAUGUUCCAUCUUCAGUUGCUUCAGAAAAGAUGAUUCCAGGAUGAAGAUACCAAGCUAUUUCAGACAGAGAGUGACGCUGACGAGGACCUCCUAGCUGGCACGAGCAAAGUUGAUCGUACUAGUUAGCCCUUAUUGGUUCAAGUGGAUGAAGAGUCUUUAUCAUUUAUUAUCGUGUCUUUUAAACUUGAGAGUUGUUUCAUUAGUCAGUUUUGAAUACUCUGGUUACCUUAAGACUUAUACUUAUAAGUAUGUGCUGGCCUUUCUUACUAUAUUUUGGUGAUCUUAGUAUUUUUGUGUUACAGACGGAUGUAUAAAUAGUUAUGGUUAACAAGUGCUUGUUAUGUUGUCUGAUUUUGCUGAGACAAGAAAAUUUGGAUAAUCCUUGAAAUAGCGAAAACUCAGUUCAAA
This is a long non-coding RNA of Lycium barbarum (goji berry), 1598 nucleotides long. RefSeq lists it as uncharacterized. The record is from RefSeq and is a predicted model, not a curated record. The transcript has 4 exons. NCBI's taxonomy places the organism in Eukaryota, Viridiplantae, Streptophyta, Magnoliopsida, Solanales, Solanaceae.